RNAcentral lists this ribosomal RNA (510 nucleotides) under uncultured bacterium. RNAcentral's name for it is "partial 16S ribosomal RNA". It matches the Rfam family "Bacterial small subunit ribosomal RNA", at positions 28 to 523 of the family's 1533-position model. The record is from RNAcentral.
GACGAACGCUGGCGGCGCGCUUAACACAUGCAAGUCGAGCGAGAACCUGGGCUUCGGCCCUGGGGACAGCGGCGAACGGGUGAGUAACAUAUGGGUAAUCUUCCCUUGACAUCGGGACAGCCGGGGGAAACCCGGAUAAAUACCGAAUAGCCACCGGGGCCUUCGGGCGCCGGAGAAAACGUAGCUUCGGCACGUGGUCGGGGAUGAUCCCAGGGGGGCUUUGGCUUGUGGGGGGGGUAACGGCCCAGCAAGGCGACGCUCGGUAGGUGGGUAGAGAGGACGAUCAGCCACACUGGGACUGAGACACGGCCCAGACGCCUACGGGAGGCAGCAGUGGGGAAUCUUGCGCCAAUGCGGGAAACCGUGACGCAGCGACGCCGCGUGGGGGAAGAAGGCCUUCGGGUUGUAAACCUCUUUCAGGAGGGACGAAGCCACUCGGGUGAAUAGCCCAGAGGGUGACGGUACCUCCAGAAGAAGCCCCGGCUAACUACGUGCCAGCCGCCGCAGUAA